RNAcentral lists this ribosomal RNA (492 nucleotides) under uncultured bacterium. RNAcentral describes it as "partial 16S ribosomal RNA". It matches the Rfam family "Bacterial small subunit ribosomal RNA", at positions 29 to 507 of the family's 1533-position model. The record is from RNAcentral.
AGUGAACGCUGGCGGUAGGCCUAACACAUGCAAGUCGAACGGCAGCACAGUAAGAGCUUGCUCUUACGGGUGGCGAGUGGCGGACGGGUGAGGAAUACAUCGGAAUCUACUUUUUCGUGGGGGAUAACGUAGGGAAACUUACGCUAAUACCGCAUACGACCUACGGGUGAAAGCAUGGGAUCUUCGGACCUUGCGCGAUUGAAUGAGCCGAUGUCGGAUUAGCUAGUUGGCGGGGUAAAGGCCCACCAAGGCGACGAUCCGUAGCUGGUCUGAGAGGAUGAUCAGCCACACUGGAAAUGAGACACGGGCCAGACUCCUACGGGAGGCAGGAGUGGGGAAUAUUAGACAAUGGGCGCAAGCCUGAUCCAACCAUACCGCGUAGGUGAAGAAGGCAUUCGGGUUGUAAAGCCCUUUUGUUGGGAAAGAAAAGCAGCAGGUUAAUACCCCGCUGUUCUGACGGUACCCAAAGAAUAAGCACCGGCUAAGUUCGUG